RNAcentral lists this ribosomal RNA (465 nucleotides) under uncultured bacterium. RNAcentral's name for it is "partial 16S ribosomal RNA". It matches the Rfam family "Bacterial small subunit ribosomal RNA", at positions 28 to 507 of the family's 1533-position model. The record is from RNAcentral.
GACGAACGCUGGCGGCGUGCUUAACACAUGCAAGUCGAACGGAAAGGCCCUGCUUUCAGGGUACUCGUGUGGCGAACGGGAGAGUAACACGUAGGUGAUCUUCCCCGCACUUCGGGGUAAGCCCGGGAAAAUGGGCCUAAUACCGGCUUGCAGUCAUUUUUAGUGUGAUGGUUCGAAAGUUUUGUCGGGGUAUGAUGUGCUGGCGGCCUUUCGGCUUGUUGGUGAGGUAAUGGACUACCAAGGCGGCGAUGGGUAGCGGGCCUGAGAGGGUGAGCCGCCACAUAGGGAAUGGCGUACGGCCCAUGCUCCUUAGGGAGGGAGGAGUGGGAAAUGAUGGACAAGGGGCGCAGGGUUGAUGAAGGGUGUCGGCGUGGGGGAUGACGCUCUUGGGGGUGUAGACUCCUUUCGCUAGAGACGAAGCGUUUUGUGACGGUACCUAGGUAAGAAGCACCGGCUAACUACGUG